AACGCACCUUGCGCUCCUUGGUAUUCCGAGGAGCAUGCCUGUUUGAGUGUCAUUAAUAUAUCAAUCCUCUUCAGCCUUUUGUCUGUUGAGUGUUGGAUGUGGGGGUUAUUCUUUUUUGCUGGACUCUCCUUUGAGGUCAGCUCCCCUAAAAUACAUUAGCAAAACAAUUUGUUUACUGCUCAUUGGUGUGAUAACUAUCUACGCCAUUGAUGGUAAAGCACAGUUUAGCUUCUAGCAGUCCAUUGACUUGGACAAUCUUUUAUCAAUGUGACCUCAAAUCAGGUAGGAUUACCCGCUGAACUUAA
RNAcentral lists this unclassified non-coding RNA (305 nucleotides) under uncultured Cortinariaceae. Its description in RNAcentral is "sequence contains ITS2". The stretch from base 1 to 52 matches the Rfam family "5.8S ribosomal RNA", at positions 103 to 154 of the family's 154-position model. Lineage: Eukaryota; Fungi; Basidiomycota; Agaricomycetes; Agaricales; Cortinariaceae. The record is from RNAcentral.